Molecule: long non-coding RNA, 468 nt
Organism: Acyrthosiphon pisum (pea aphid)
Lineage: Eukaryota; Metazoa; Arthropoda; Insecta; Hemiptera; Aphididae
Exons: 3
Source: RefSeq, a predicted model, not a curated record
UCCAAACAUAUAGCCAAUUUAGUCGAUGUGUGAAAUGUCGUAAAUAUUUGACUAUUAUUAGUUUUAAUACGUCAUAUCCUGUAACAAGGGUUCCAUUUUACUCUUACAGGAUAAAACCGUUAGAGAUAGAUAUGACUCAUAUAACCCAUUCUAUUUCUAAUUUGGAUUCGGAAGAUAUUAUUUAUAAUCACGUCCACGUGAUAGAGUAAAAAAAAUACUUGUUCACAUACAUUUGUAUUACGGAUGAUGAAAGUAUGAUAGUAACAUAGUGUUAUAGCUGUUAUGAACUUACAAUAUCUGGUCGCAUGAACAUAAUCAUUGAUUGUAUUAUGAGAAGGAUGAGGAAAACUAUUUCAAACCGUCAACCACCAAAAUCAAUAGUUUCAAACCGUCAAUCAUCAGAAUCAAUAGAAUUAAUUGAAAUUGAAAGAUUUAAAAAAUGCUCUAAGACAUUUAUAAUUAAGAAUA